UGAGGGAAUAUUGGGUCAAUGGGCGGAAGCCUGAACCAGCCAAGUAGCGUGAGGGAAGACUGCCCUAUGGGUUGUAAACCUCUUUUAUAAGGGAAUAAAAUACGGGACGUGUCCUGUUUUGCAUGUACCUUAUGAAUAAGGACCGGCUAAUUCCGUGCCAGCAGCCGCGGUAAUACGGAAGGUCCGGGCGUUAUCCGGAUUUAUUGGGUUUAAAGGGAGCGCAGGCGGUCUUAUAAGCGUGACGUGAAAUGCAGCGGCUCAACCGUAUGAUGUGCGUCGUGAACUGUGAGACUUGAGUGUAUUCGAUGUCAGCGGAAUUUGUGGUGUAGCGGUGAAAUGCUUA
Molecule: ribosomal RNA, 343 nt
Filed under: uncultured Prevotella sp.
Lineage: Bacteria; Pseudomonadati; Bacteroidota; Bacteroidia; Bacteroidales; Prevotellaceae
Description: bacterial SSU rRNA
Rfam family: Bacterial small subunit ribosomal RNA
Source: RNAcentral